GGUUCGAUUAUGGCUCAGAUUGAACGCUUAGCGGAUGCCGUACACAUGCAAGUCGAACGGCAGCACGGACUUCGGUCUGGUGGCGAGUGGCGAACGGGUGAGCAAUGUAUCGGAACGUGCCUAGUAGCGGGGAUAACUACGCGAAAGCGUAGCUAAUACCGCACAUUGUCCCUUUCGGGGUGAAAGCGGGGGGACCUUCGGGCCUCGUAAUUAGAGCGGCCGAUAUCGGAUUAGCUAGUUGGUGGGGCAACGGCUCACCAAGGCGACGAUCCGUAGCUGGUUUGAGAGGACGACCAGCCACACUGGGACUGAGACACGGCCCAGACUCCUACGGGAGGCAGCAGUGGGGAAUUUUGGACAAUGGGGGAAACCCUGAUCCAGCCAUCCCGCGUGUGCGAUGAAGGCCUUCGUUGUAAAGCACUUUUGGCAGGAAGAAACGGCACGGGAUAAUACCCCGUGCAACUGACGGUACCUGCAGAAUAAGCACCGGCUAACUACGUGCCAGCAGCCGCGGUAAUACGUAGGGUGCAAGCGUUAAUCGGAAUUACUGGGCGUAAAGUGCGUGCGGUUCGGAAAGAAAGAUGUGAAAUCCCAGAGCUUAACUUUGGAACUGCAUUUUUAACUACCGAGCUAGAGUGUGUCAGAGGGAGGUGGAAUUCGCGUGUAGCAGUGAAAUGCGUAGAUAUGCGGAGGAACACCGAUGGCGAAGGCAGCCUCCUGGGAUAACACUGACGCUCAUGCACGAAAGCGUGGGGAGCAAACAGGAUUAGAUACCCUGGUAGUCCACGCCCUAAACGAUGUCAACUAGCUGUUGGGGCCUUCGGGCCUGGUAGCGCAGCUAACGCAGGAAGUUGACCGCCCGGGGAGUAAUAAUGGUCGCAAGAUUAAAACUCAAAGGAAUUGACGGGGACUCGCACAAGCGGUGGAUGAUGUGAUUAAUUCGAUGCAACGCGAAAAACCUUACCUACCCUUGACAUGUCUGGAAUCCCGAAGAGAUUUGGGAGUGCUCGCAAGAGAACCGGAACACAGGUGCUGCAUGGCUGUCGUCAGCUCGUGUCGUGAGAUGUUGGGUUAAGUCCCGCAACGAUAGCAACCCUUGUCAUUAGUUGCUACGAAAGGGCACUCUAAUGAGACUGCCGGUGACAAACCGGAGGAAGGUGGGGAUGACGUCAAGUCCUCAUGGCCCUUAUGGGUAGGGCUUCACACGUCAUACAAUGGUCGGGACAGAGGGUCGCCAACCCGCGAGGGGAGCCAAUCCCAGAACCGAUCGUAGUCCGAUCGCAGUCUGCAACUCGACUGCGUGAAGUCGGAAUCGCUAGUAAUCGCGGAUCAGCAUGUCGCGUGAAUACGUUCCCGGGUCUUGUACACACCGCCCGCCCACUAUGGGAGGGCUUUACCAGAAGUAGUUAGCCUAACCGUAAGGAGGGCGAUUACCACGGUAGGAUUCAUGACUGGGGUGAAGUCGUAAAUAAGGUAA
RNAcentral lists this ribosomal RNA (1477 nucleotides) under uncultured Bordetella sp. RNAcentral describes it as "partial 16S-23S ribosomal RNA intergenic spacer". It matches the Rfam family "Bacterial small subunit ribosomal RNA". Lineage: Bacteria; Pseudomonadati; Pseudomonadota; Betaproteobacteria; Burkholderiales; Alcaligenaceae. The record is from RNAcentral.